CAAUGGGCGAAAGCCUGAUGCAGCGACGCCGCGUGGGGGAUGACGGCCUUCGGGGUUGUAAACCCCUUUCAGUAGGGAAGAAGCGAGAGUGACGGUACCUGCAGAAGAAGCGCCGGCUAACUACGUGCCAGCAGCCGCGGUAAUACGUAGGGCGCAAGCGUUGUCCGGAAUUAUUGGGCGUAAAGAGCUUGUAGGUGGCUUGUCGCGUCUGCCGUGAAAACCCGAGGCUCAACCUCGGGCGUGCGGUGGGUACGGGCAGGCUAGAGUGUGGUAGGGGAGACUGGAACUCCUGGUGUAGCGGUGAAAUGCGCAGAUAUCAGGAAAAACACCGAUGGCGAAGGCAGGUCUCUGGGCCAUUACUGACACUGAGAAGCGAAAGCAUGGGUAGCGAACAGGAUUAGAUACCCUGGUAGUCCAUGCCGUAAACGUUGGGCACUAGGUGUGGGGGACAUUCCACGUUUUCCGCGCCGUAGCUAACGCAUUAAGUGCCCCGCCUGGGGAGUACGGCCGCAAGGCUAAAACUCAAAGGAAUUGACGGGGGCCCGCACAAGCGGCGGAGCAUGCUGAUUAAUUCGAUGCAACGCGAAGAACCUUACCAAGGCUUGACAUGCACUGGACG
Molecule: ribosomal RNA, 619 nt
Filed under: Brachybacterium sp.
Lineage: Bacteria; Bacillati; Actinomycetota; Actinomycetes; Micrococcales; Dermabacteraceae
Description: bacterial SSU rRNA
Rfam family: Bacterial small subunit ribosomal RNA
Source: RNAcentral